UCUCGAUUGGUCUAGUGGUCAGGAUACCUGCUUGUCAUUGGUUCUCCAUCAAUAUCGCAGGUGGCCGGGGUUCGAUUCCCCGAUCGAGAG
Molecule: non-coding RNA, 90 nt
Organism: Xylaria nigripes
Lineage: Eukaryota; Fungi; Ascomycota; Sordariomycetes; Xylariales; Xylariaceae
Source: the annotation of a GenBank genome assembly